Lytechinus pictus (painted urchin) is the source of this 4681-nucleotide RNA transcript. It is a transcript of the gene named protein FAM161B-like, with no coding region annotated. NCBI's taxonomy places the organism in Eukaryota, Metazoa, Echinodermata, Echinoidea, Temnopleuroida, Toxopneustidae. The record is from RefSeq and is a predicted model, not a curated record. The transcript has 6 exons.
GAUGUUGCCGAGCGAGCGAGCUGAUCGAAUCUGUGUUUUCGGUUCGUCGUGAAGAUCAACAUGGCAACAGGACAUUCCUUGUCAGUGGUUACCAAUUCUUGUAUUACGAGGCCUAGAAUUCCGAAUUCGAACUUGCCAGAGAGUGAAUUAGAUCGAGAUCUAGCAAGAAGUCGUGAUCUAAAAAAGGAUGCACUUUUGGCCUCAUGUAAUGGCUCUGAAUAUCAUGAAUAUGACCAGGAACAAUUUGCUCAGUCCCAUUCGAAGGGAUUUGGCGGUGGCUCCUUGGAAGAAGAUGCACUUAUUGAUCAGCUCACAAACGAUGUGGAGAACAUCAGUAGUGAAGAUUUUUACAAACGUCUGAAAGAACUGAAAGAGAAACAUCGGGUAACACUGAAUUCUCUGGAGAAGAGGUAUAAAAAGAAAGUGUCUCGAAAGCGACAAGAAAUUGAGUUUGAAAAUAAUGCGCGGAAUGAAAUGGGAUUGGGCGGAGAUGACAAUGGCAACGACUGGAGCUUGAGUAUGAAUUACAUGAAUGGAAUUGAUAAAGUGAAAGGAAUGACUAAGAGUGGUCCAGUUUAUGUAGCUGAACAUGAACACAAACAUAUGGAUGACACGCUGCAGGCGUUUAACCAGAGUUUACCGGCAUGGUCAGCUCUACCAAGAGAUAAUGUGAGAGACAUGUCAUCAAAACCACCGACUGGACGGCCUCAGACAGCAUGGACUGAGCGCCCAAAGUCCAGAUCUUCUGCACGCAAUGGCGUCCAUGGUCAGAAACAAAAGCCAGAUUGGAGUGAUGUCACUUGGAGCGGGAGUGAGUGUUCAGCUACAACGGAUGAAAUAUUAUCCAGUGUAAACACUUCGCUUGAUCUUUCAUUGAGUAAGCAGCCUGGAUCCCCAGCUGCAGUAGUUGACAAUAUGUGGGAAGAUUUCAGCGUCGACUCCUACGUACCCCGUUCUCGCAGUUUGUCCAGAACAUCUGCCCGCAGCAACUCAACUCAACAGAGCAAGGCAAAGGAAUGGUCUCCUAAAAUAACCAUCCCAAAGCCUUUUAGCAUGUCCUUGAGGGAAUCUAGUGAAGAACGGAAGAAAACAAGAGCCUCCAUGGACCUUGAUCAAGCAAGACUUGAUAGAGAGAAACAAGAGGAAAUAGAAUGCCAGAAGAAGUUCAAAGCGAACCCAGUACCCGCUCAUACUUUCCUACCGCUCUAUGAUGAAAUAAUGGAUCAACAAGUUGAAAAGUCGAAGAAGAACAGAGAAGAGAGCUACAAGAAACUCACAACUACUCAAAAACCAUUCAAGCUGACAGAAACUAAAAAGCACCAAAGAUCUGCAAGUGCUCCUUUGUCAGCGAGGCGGCCAAAGACACCGUCCUUCAAGGCCAAACCAGUUCCAAAUUCUGUCUUUGAUCCGACAGUUGAUGAGCAAAUUUUAGAGGAAGAAGAAUACCGGAAGAUCAGAAUCAAGAUGAGAGCUGAGGAGAUGUUGAGGCAAUCUUCACUCCCUCCUAAUAUGCAGAUCAGAGGCAAGGAGUAUACUGAUGGAAAGAUGAGAAUGAAGAUGCAGAAAAAGCGGGAGAAGCAGGCUUUCCUCACAACAGAACACAAAUUCAGACCCCAGGUAAAUGGAGAGAUUCCAGACUAUGAUGAAUUACAUCGCAGGUUCCAGGAGGAGGUUCAGAGGAAAAAGAGAGAAAAGGAUCCGACUGUUAUUGAGCCCUUCAAUCUCAGGACAGCCAGAAUUCCCUCUCGCAAGUCUAGAGCUCUGAUCGAAAUGGAGGAGGAAGAGGAGAGGCGGAAGGAGGCCCUCCGAGGGUCUUUGUCAAAGUCUGCUUCUCUAAGAAGAUCCAUUGACAUGGGUGAUACGCUCCCGUCGAAGACGACCAAUGCUAACGAGCUGCGGAAGAGUGCACUUAGUAAGACACAGAUAGAGAAGGCUGAGCGGGAGAGACAGGAGGUGGAGCAGGAGAAACAGAGGAGAUACAGAGAGAAAAAGCUUCAACGAUUCAUCACCAGCAAAGCUAGGGCCAACGACACUUCCCAGAGCCUGGAGGCUACCAAUAGGGAGAAAUUAAGACAGCACAGAGAGUCUGAGAGAGCUCGUGAAGAAGAAUAUGAACGAGAGCUGCAGGAAAUGAUGGCCAGGAUUGAAUCCCGUCCUCUUCUCUUUGAGAGAGAGACCGAGUUAAAUGCCAAGAAACGUGCAGAAAGAAAGUAUGAGAGUGCCCUCAAGAAUGCGGGAAUCAGUGAGGACUUCUUGGAGCGUAAGGGGCGUUCAGGAGCCACCCAGAUACUGAGCGGUGGGGGAGGAAGGGAAGACGAGAGCAGGAGUGAAGCAAGCUACAACUACGAUUACGACGAUGACGGUGAUGACUAUGGAGGUUACAGUGGCGCUGGUGAUGGAAGAGACAAGUACGAUGAUGACGACACUCCCGCAAGUGAUGAUGAUUAGAUUCAAUGUAAAUGAAUCAUUUCCAAGUUGUCUUUCUUUGUAUAAUCUCAUUGAUCACCUUGCCCUACCAUCCUUCCUGUAUGUUUUGAUGCAAUGAAGGAGAGUCCCUGUUUCCAUCAAAGGUGGUUGCCAAGGAAGUCAGUAUUUCAUUAAAUUUUGAUCGUUGAUUUUUCAGUGACAGAUGUUAUAGGCUAUAAUGUAAAUGCUUGCAUCUGAUUGGCUGAGUGCAUAUUAGUGAGUGAAAAUCACUGACCAAACCUUUCAUGAAAUGCUCUAGAGAUACAUUUUGUGUUCAGGUCCAUGGUCCUUCCCAUUUUUAUUCUCCCGAUAAACUUGGAAACACUUUAAUAGAUCAACCUCUAACCUGACUCGUGUGAUGUUGUCUACUAAUAGUGACAAUGAUGAAAGUAGGUUUAGAAAUUCAUAAGUUGGUGAAAACAUCGCCCGUGUACAAAUACAUAUAUACUAAUAUUUAAUGGUAAUAGUAUGAGAUUUUGAGCCAAUUGUCAGUCAGUUUUGACAAUAAUAUAAAUGACGAAGGUAUUUAAAUCUACUCAUAGAUUGAUAUUUAUUUUGAUUAAAUUCUACAAUUAUGAUCUGGCUGUAGAAAUACAUUAAUUUGAAGCAUGUGUAGAAUCUAUCUACAUUUCUUUUUCAUUUUAGUUUUGUAUGUACCAUGCGUCCCAGAAAAAAGGAAACCAGAAUUCAGUGUAUUUUUUUGCCAUCAUGAUUAUGAAUUUGCAUCAUGAGAUGUACAUCAAUGAAAAGAUACACUUUCCCUCUUUCAUUUGAAGCCCAUCUCAACGUUCAUGGUGCUUAAAUGACUGAGUUAGAACAAUUGAAAGUGAUGCUAGCAAAUUUCCAUUUGCACAAGCAAAUUACAAAUUUGAGUGACUUUUUCUGGCUUUUACUGCUAUGUAUUUGGAAAACAAAGUUCAUUACUUUAAUAUUCAUUUUUUCAUCUUUCAUAUGAGACCUCAUGCAUAAAAUAUGAUUGAUGCAUUGUUGAGAUAAAGUUGCAUGAAAACAUGCUUGAUUUCUACCUAUUGGACGGAUUGUUGAAAAACUACCGGUGAAUGCGCGGUGAGUGUGAUUUUAUGGUUGGCUUGAAUGUUAUUUUUGAAUUCUUUUUGUAAAACUUGUAAAAAAAAUUGCUUGAAAUGAUGAGACAAGGCAGGGGCGGUGGAAUGUUGGAGGGGGGGGGGAGGGGUGACCCACUUAAAGAAAAACAACUUGAGAAAAGGGCUUUCUUCCCUUCAAUUGUAAAAAGUGAUGUACCCCUUUUUGCUGUGCCCCACUGCCUUCUAACAUAUUCUGCCGCCCGUGUGAAAUGUAGCGACGAAUGAAAUAACUGAGAGAAAUUUGAGAUAAAACUCAUUAAAAUUAUUACCAUUGUAACAUUUAAAAAACAUUAAAAAAAACAUUGAAUUCUCACAGCCAUAGACUCCAGGCUGCAACAAUAAAGGGCUUUCCUUCCCCCUUCCGAACAGCAUUCACUGUUAGCCUAUUGUCUGCUGCUUUGUUUUUCAACGAUCCACCGAAUAGGUAGAAAUUGAGCAUGUUUUCAUGCAAUUUUUUCUUGACCAUGCAUCAUUCUUUUUUUAUGCAUAAGGUCUCAUAUGGAAUAGGAAAAGAUGAAUAUUCAAGUUAUAAAAUUUGUUUUCCGAAUAGAUAACGGUGAAAGAUGGCAAAACUCACUCAAAAUCACGAUUUGCUCGUGCAAAGGGAAAUUUAGUACCACCGCUUUUCAUUGUUCUAACUCAGUCAUGCGUGCAUUAUGAAUGUUAGAUGGGCCUCAAAUAAAAGAAGAGAAGUAUAUCUUUCCAUUCAUGUACAUUUAUAAAGUAAAUUUAUGAUCAUGAUAGGAAAAUUUACACUGAAUCACGGUUUCAUUUUUUCUGGGACGCACUGUAUAUGUAAGAUUGGAAGUAAUUUGUCAUGUGUCUGCAUUUGGUACAUGCAUUGAUUUAUGUUCACAUGAAAUCAGUUAGAAAGAUUGUGCUCUACUUUGUAAAAUAAUAAUCAGUUUCCGACAAAUAUAUCAUUGAUGAUACUGGUGUGUAGAUAUUUCUAAAAAAUCCUACAUUCCUCAACUUUUUAUGUUAAUGGUUAUAUGAAUAUUGUGACCAAGUUGAAAGCUUUAUGUAAUUCCUAGUAAGAAUAUUUGGAUUGUACAAUUUCUAUCAUCUGUAUUUAGUGAUGUAAUAAAUCUUUUAAAUGUAAUAAACCCUGA